This is a ribosomal RNA of 304 nucleotides. It matches the Rfam family "Bacterial small subunit ribosomal RNA", at positions 1 to 306 of the family's 1533-position model.
UUCACGGAGAGUUUGAUCCUGGCUCAGGACGAACGCUGGCGGCGUGCUUAACACAUGCAAGUCGAACGAUGAACCGCUUUCGGGCGGGGAUUAGUGGCGAACGGGUGAGUAACACGUGGGCAAUCUGCCCUGCACUCUGGGACAAGCCCUGGAAACGGGGUCUAAUACCGGAUACUUACUGCCUUGGGCAUCCUUGGCGGUGGAAAGCUCCGGCGGUGCAGGAUGAGCCCGCGGCCUAUCAGCUAGUUGGUGAGGUAAUGGCUCACCAAGGCGACGACGGGUAGCCGGCCUGAGAGGGCGACCG